CAUUCAUGGGCAAUGCAUUUGAAAAAGAAGACAUAAAUAUUCAGAGUCAUAUUAGAAUGCUGUUCAAUGCAAAGCUGAAUUCUAAAUCUCUUGCUUUAUUUCCUGAGGCCUGCUUCUAUUUCUCACACCUAAAAUCCUUUCCACCUUUUGUGAUUCCCCACAUUUUGCCACGUCAAGUUUGUAGAGACACCCUGAUCACAUCGCGUGGGUGAGUGGGGGAGGUCUGGAGAGAACAUAAAAAUCUUGGAAGCAUCCUGAGACGCCACAAACCCUGACAAUGCUGCCACCUAUGGACCAAAAGUGCCAACAUCAGCUGCGCAGAGCCGUUUGCAGGGACACUCCGCGAUGAAAGAAGCAGAUUGUACGAGCAAAUUCAGACUCCUGCACAAGCCUUAAUUCACCUGGUGAACUGAUGGAGCGGCUAC
Molecule: long non-coding RNA, 425 nt
Organism: Corvus hawaiiensis (hawaiian crow)
Lineage: Eukaryota; Metazoa; Chordata; Aves; Passeriformes; Corvidae
Exons: 3
Source: RefSeq, a predicted model, not a curated record